RNAcentral lists this small RNA (1030 nucleotides) under Vigna angularis var. angularis. RNAcentral describes it as "Non-protein coding transcript". The record is from RNAcentral. Lineage: Eukaryota; Viridiplantae; Streptophyta; Magnoliopsida; Fabales; Fabaceae.
GGCCCAUCAUGUCAAUGAAUCAUAACCAGGCCUCUUUACCUUUCUUUCUUCCUUCUUUCAUCUUAACGAUGCAUUUUGUUGUUUUUUUGUUCAAAUAACUUCUUUAAAUUACUCCUUUGGCAAUUGCUUCCUCCACUUUAUCAAAUUUCUUCUCCCACCCCAUGAAAACCUUUCGAAAAAUGAUUUCCGUACAAGGAGGGAAUCUUUGACUUCCAGAAAAAAAAAAUUAGAAUUAUUUAUUGAGUUCCCGAAAAUAAAUUCAGAAACGAUGGGGUGCAGGAAGUAAUUGCAUACUCAUUUUAUUGGCCAGGCCCAAUGUGUUGUUUAUAACGACUUCCUUUAUCGAGAGUUACUCCCUCCACUACCACCACGUAAUGUUACAUGCACCUCUCCAUUUUUUUUUUGUAAAAGUAAUAUUUAAACAAUUAUAAACAAAUGUCAACAUAUCAACAUCCUUUAAAGAUAAAUCUACGACCUCGACAUCCGUUAAAGCCAGAACAAAGCUGAAGCAGACAGAGGUGGACUGUGAGUUCUUGAAUAAAUGCUGUGAAACGUUGACGGACGAAACAGAAGGUUAAAGAAGGAGUUGCAGGAGCUGAAGGCACUGAAACUUGCUCUACCCUUGUACAUGCCUAUGCCUGCGGCAACACUCACCAUGUGCCCUUCUUGCGAGAGGCUCAGUGGCGUUAGCGAUAACGCUUCCAAUAAAAGCCCUUUCUCCAUGGCUCCCAAGACUCACUUCUACAACCCCUUUGUCAAUCCUUAUGAAAGAGUGAAAGGGUAUAAGGAGAUUUAGGAUCUUAAAAAAAAGUAAAUAAAAUUAAAUGGUAAAAAUUAAAUUAAUGUAAGGUAUUUUUAGAAUAAAAAAAAUAAUGAAAAAAAUGAAAAGAGCAUUUGGGAACGGUGGUGAAGGGAGCAACUCUCUCCUUUGUCUGUAUUGCUGGACUUCUAAAAAAUCAUGAACCUUUAUUAGGUUUAGGCCCGUGAUAAGUUCAUUCCUCGAUGAAGACACAACAGUUUCGCGGGCAGA